Molecule: ribosomal RNA, 465 nt
Filed under: uncultured bacterium
Lineage: Bacteria
Description: partial 16S ribosomal RNA
Rfam family: Bacterial small subunit ribosomal RNA
Source: RNAcentral
GACGAACGCUGGCGGCGUGCUUAACACAUGCAAGUCGAACGGUAAGGCUCCAGCUUGCUGGGGUACACGAGUGGCGAACGGGUGAGUAACACGUGGGUGACCUGCCCUGCACUUCGGGAUAAGCCUGGGAAACUGGGUCUAAUACCGGAUAGGACCGCACCGUGAGGGUGUGGUGGAAAGUUUUUUCGGUGUGGGAUGGGCCCGCGGCCUAUCAGCUUGUUGGUGGGGUAAUGGCCUACCAAGGCGGCGACGGGUAGCCGGCCUGAGAGGGUGGACGGCCACAUUGGGACUGAGACACGGCCCAGACUCCUACGGGAGGCAGAAGUGGGGAAUAUUGCACAAUGGGCGGAAGCCUGAUGCGGCGACGCCGCGUGGGGGAUGACGGCCUUCGGGUUGUAAACUCCUUUCACCAUCGACGAAGGGUUUCUGACGGUAGAUGGAGAAGAAGCACCGGCUAACUACGUG